This 492-nucleotide ribosomal RNA is filed under the name uncultured bacterium. RNAcentral describes it as "partial 16S ribosomal RNA". It matches the Rfam family "Bacterial small subunit ribosomal RNA", at positions 28 to 507 of the family's 1533-position model. The record is from RNAcentral.
GAUGAACGCUAGCUACAGGCUUAACACAUGCAAGUCGAGGGGAAACGACAUCGAAAGCUUGCUUUUAUUGGGCGCGGCCGGGGGACCGGGGGGGAACGGCGAACCCAACUUGCCAAUAACUUGGGAAAAACUUUGCGAAGGAAAGACUAAACCCCAAUGCAAUCCACCAAAAACAUCUGAAUGGGAUAAAAGAUUAAUCGGUGACGGAGGGGGUUGCGUUGGUUUGGUUUGUUGGCGGGGUAACGGCCCACCAAGGCAACGAUCAGUAGGGGUUCUGAGAGGAAGGUCCCCCACAUUGGAACUGAGACACGGUCCAAACUCCUACGGGAGGCAGCAGUGAGGAAUAUUGGUCAAUGGGCGAGAGCCUGAACCAGCCAAGUAGCGUGCAGGAUGACGGCCCUAUGGGUUGUAAACUGCUUUUAUAAGGGAAUAAAGUGGGUCUCGUGAGACUUUUUGCAUGUACCUUAUGAAUAAGGACCGGCUAAUUCCGUG